GACGAACGCUGGCGGCGUGCCUAAUACAUGCAAGUAGGACGCAGUUGCGAACGGGUGAUUUACGCGUAGGUAACUGCCUAUUAGAGGGUGAUAACUAUUUGAAACGAUAGCUAAUACCGCAUACUAGUAGAUGGACCUGCGUUGUAUUAGCUAGUAGGUAGUGUAAUGGCCUACCUAGGCGAAGGUACAUAGCCAACCUGAGGAGGUGAUCGGCCACACGGGGAAUGGGAAACGGCCCAGACUCCUACGGGAGGCAGCAGUAGGGAAACUUCGGAAAUGGGGGGAAACCUGACCGAGUAACGCCGCGUGAGUGGAGGAGGUUUUCGGAUCGUAAAGCUCUGUUGUUAAGGAAGCGGUACUUAACCAGAAAGGGACGGCUAACUACGUGCCAGCCGCCGCGGUAAUUC
This 407-nucleotide ribosomal RNA is filed under the name uncultured bacterium. RNAcentral's name for it is "partial 16S ribosomal RNA". It matches the Rfam family "Bacterial small subunit ribosomal RNA", at positions 28 to 526 of the family's 1533-position model. The record is from RNAcentral.